UUGUGAUGAAACCAAACCUACAAAGCUGGAAUUACCGGCAGACUUUUGCUGUUGAGAAGGUUCUCUCUGAGC
Molecule: small nucleolar RNA, 72 nt
Organism: Anolis carolinensis (green anole)
Lineage: Eukaryota; Metazoa; Chordata; Lepidosauria; Squamata; Anolidae
Source: Ensembl